GAUGAAGUGCCUGAUUAAAGGAUUAUCUUGAUAGGGUAAAUUAAGUAAAUUUAUUUUACCUUC
Molecule: transfer RNA, 63 nt
Filed under: Antarctoperla michaelseni
Lineage: Eukaryota; Metazoa; Arthropoda; Insecta; Plecoptera; Gripopterygidae
Description: tRNA-Ile
Source: RNAcentral